Molecule: ribosomal RNA, 2819 nt
Filed under: Mesorhizobium sp.
Lineage: Bacteria; Pseudomonadati; Pseudomonadota; Alphaproteobacteria; Hyphomicrobiales; Phyllobacteriaceae
Description: 23S ribosomal RNA
Rfam family: Bacterial large subunit ribosomal RNA
Source: RNAcentral
GAUCAAGUGUCUUAAGGGCAAUUGGUGGAUGCCUUGGCAUGCACAGGCGAUGAAGGACGUGAUACGCUGCGAUAAGCUACGGGGAGGUGCGAAUACCCUUUGAUCCGUAGAUUUCCGAAUGGGGAAACCCACCUAAGGUGCUUGGAAAAUCAGAGCAGCCAGUGGUCGACAAGGCCAACUUGCUGCUGUGGUUUCCAAGUAUCUGUAAUAGGUAACUUAUCCUGAAUACAUAGGGAUAAAGUGGCGAACGCGGGGAACUGAAACAUCUAAGUACCCGUAGGAAAGGACAUCAACCGAGACUCCGGCAGUAGUGGCGAGCGAACCCGGACCAGGCCAGUGGCGAUGAUGAGACAAGCGGAACCUUCUGGAAAGUAGGGCCAUAGUGGGUGACAGCCCCGUACGCGUAAUGCAAAUCAUCGUCCUCGAGUAAGGCGGGACACGUGAAAUCCUGUCUGAAAUUGGGGGGACCACCCUCCAAGCCUAAGUACUCGUGCAUGACCGAUAGCGAACUAGUACCGUGAGGGAAAGGUGAAAAGCACCCCGACAAGGGGAGUGAAAGAGUACCUGAAACCGAUUGCCUACAAACAGUGGGGGCCCGCAAGGGUGACCACGUACCUUUUGUAUAAUGGGUCAGCGACUUAGUGUGACGAGCAAGCUUAAACCGCUAGGUGUAGGCGCAGCGAAAGCGAGUCUGAACAGGGCGUUCAGUUCGUCGCAUUAGACCCGAAACCGAGUGAUCUAGCCAUGAGCAGGUUGAAGGUAAGGUAACACUUACUGGAGGACCGAACCCAUAACUGUUGCAAUAGUUCGGGAUGACUUGUGGCUAGGGGUGAAAGGCCAAUCAAACUCGGAAAUAGCUGGUUCUCCGCGAAAUCUAUUUAGGUAGAGCGUCGACCGAAUACCCCAGGGGGUAGAGCACUGGAUGGGCUAGGGGUCCUCACCGGAUUACCAAACCUAACCAAACUCCGAAUACCUGGGAGUACUAGUCGGCAGACACACGGCGGGUGCUAACGUCCGUCGUGAAAAGGGAAACAACCCUGACCUACAGCUAAGGUCCCCAAGUUAUGGCUAAGUGGGAAAGGAUGUGAGGAUCCCAAAACAACCAGGAUGUUGGCUUAGAAGCAGCCAUCAUUUAAAGAAAGCGUAACAGCUCACUGGUCUAAAUAAGGGUCUUUGCGCCGAAAAUGUAACGGGGCUCAAGCCAUACACCGAAGCUUAGGGUUCGUGAGCAAUCACGAGCGGUAGCGGAGCGUUCUGUAAGCUGAUGAAGCCAUACCCGUGAGGGGUGGUGGAGGUAUCAGAAGUGCGAAUGCUGACAUGAGUAACGUAAGGGGAGUGAGAGACUCCCCCGCCGAAAGUCCAAGGGUUCCUGCUUAAAGCUAAUCUGAGCAGGGUUAGCCGGCCCCUAAGUCGAGGCAGAAAUGCGUAGACGAUGGGAACCACGUUAAUAUUCGUGGGCCUGGAGGAAGUGACGGAUCAUUGAGGUAGUCCAAUCUUAUCGGAUUGAACGGGCUGCUGCGUGGUUCCAGGAAAUAGCUCCUCCUUAUAGACCGUACCCGAAACCGACACUGGUGGACUGGUAGAGUAUACCAAGGCGCUUGAGAGAACUAUGCUGAAGGAACUCGGCAAAUUGCACGCGUAACUUCGGAAGAAGCGUGACCCUUUUCCACGCAAGUGGAGGAGGGUGGCACAGACCAGGGGGUAGCGACUGUUUAUCAAAAACACAGGGCUCUGCGAAGUCGCAAGACGACGUAUAGGGUCUGACGCCUGCCCGGUGCUGGAAGGUUAAGAGGAGGGGUGCAAGCUCUGAAUCGAAGCCCCAGUAAACGGCGGCCGUAACUAUAACGGUCCUAAGGUAGCGAAAUUCCUUGUCGGGUAAGUUCCGACCUGCACGAAUGGCGUAACGACUUCCCCGCUGUCUCCAGCAUAGACUCAGUGAAAUUGAAUUCCCCGUGAAGAUGCGGGGUUCCUGCGGUUAGACGGAAAGACCCCGUGCACCUUUACUAUAGCUUUACAUUGGCAUUCGUAGUGGCAUGUGUAGGAUAGGUGGUAGGCUUUGAAACCUGGGCGCCAGCUCAGGUGGAGCCACCCUUGAAAUACCACCCUUAUCACUAUGGAUGUCUAACCGCGGCCCGUUAUCCGGGUCCGGGACAAUGUAUGGUGGGUAGUUUGACUGGGGCGGUCGCCUCCUAAAGAGUAACGGAGGCGCGCGAUGGUGGGCUCAGAACGGUCGGAAAUCGUUCGCUGAGUGCAAUGGCAUAAGCCUGCCUGACUGCGAGACUGACAAGUCGAGCAGAGACGAAAGUCGGUCAUAGUGAUCCGGUGGUCCCGCGUGGAAGGGCCAUCGCUCAACGGAUAAAAGGUACGCCGGGGAUAACAGGCUGAUGACCCCCAAGAGUCCAUAUCGACGGGGUUGUUUGGCACCUCGAUGUCGACUCAUCGCAUCCUGGGGCUGGAGCAGGUCCCAAGGGUAUGGCUGUUCGCCAUUUAAAGCGGUACGUGAGUUGGGUUCAGAACGUCGUGAGACAGUUCGGUCCCUAUCUGCCGUGGGUGUAGGAAUAUUGAAAGGAUCUGUCCCUAGUACGAGAGGACCGGGAUGGACGGAUCUCUGGUGGACCUGUUGUGGCGCCAGCCGCAUAGCAGGGUAGCUAUAUCCGGACGGGAUAACCGCUGAAGGCAUCUAAGCGGGAAACCCACCUUAAAACGAGUAUUCCCUGAGAACCGUGGAAGACGACCACGUUGAUAGGCCGGGUGUGGAAGAGCGGCAACGCUUGAAGCUUACCGGUACUAAUAGUUCGAUCGGCUUGAUCGUUCUCAUU